GACGAACGCUGGCAGCGUGCCUAAUACAUGCAAGUCGAACGCAUUUUCUUUCACCGUAGCUUGCUACACCGAAAGAAAAUGAGUGGCGAACGGGUGAGUAACACGUGGGUAACCUGCCCAUCAGCGGGGGAUAACACUUGGAAACAGGUGCUAAUACCGCAUAAUUCCAUUUACUGCAUGGUAGAUGGAUGAAAGGCGCUUUUGCGUCACUGAUGGAUGGACCCGCGGUGCAUUAGCUAGUUGGUGGGGUAACGGCCUACCAAGGCUGCGAUGCAUAGCCGACCUGAGAGGGUGAUCGGCCACACUGGGACUGAGACACGGCCCAGACUCCUACGGGAGGCAGCAGUAGGGAAUCUUCGGCAAUGGACGCAAGUCUGACCGAGCAACGCCGCGUGAGUGAAGAAGGUUUUCGGAUCGUAAAACUCUGUUGUUAGAAAAGAACAAGGAUGAGAGUGGAAAGUUCAUCCCUUGACGGUAUCUAACCAGAAAGCCACGGCUAACUACGUG
RNAcentral lists this ribosomal RNA (507 nucleotides) under uncultured bacterium. Its description in RNAcentral is "partial 16S ribosomal RNA". It matches the Rfam family "Bacterial small subunit ribosomal RNA", at positions 28 to 507 of the family's 1533-position model. The record is from RNAcentral.